AUUGAACGCUGGCGGCAGGCCUAACACAUGCAAGUCGAGCGGAUGAAGGGAGCUUGCUCCUGGAUUCAGCGGCGGACGGGUGAGUAAUGCCUAGGAAUCUGCCUGGUAGUGGGGGAUAACGUCCGGAAACGGGCGCUAAUACCGCAUACGUCCUGAGGGAGAAAGUGGGGGAUCUUCGGACCUCACGCUAUCAGAUGAGCCUAGGUCGGAUUAGCUAGUUGGUGGGGUAAAGGCCUGCCAAGGCGACGAUCCGUAACUGGUCUGAGAGGACGAUCAGUCACACUGGAACUGAGACACGGUCCAGACUCCUACGGGAGGCAGCAGUGGGGAAUAUUGGACAAUGGGCGAAAGCCUGAUCCAGCCAUGCCGCGUGUGUGAAGAAGGUCUUCGGAUUGUAAAGCACUUUAAGUUGGGAGGAAGGGCAGUAAGUUAAUACCUUGCUGUUUUGACGUUACCAACAGAAUAAGCACCGGCUAACUUCGUG
RNAcentral lists this ribosomal RNA (484 nucleotides) under uncultured bacterium. Its description in RNAcentral is "partial 16S ribosomal RNA". It matches the Rfam family "Bacterial small subunit ribosomal RNA", at positions 30 to 507 of the family's 1533-position model. The record is from RNAcentral.